RNAcentral lists this long non-coding RNA (561 nucleotides) under Setaria italica (foxtail millet). RNAcentral describes it as "long non-coding RNA (SITA_LNC002204)". Lineage: Eukaryota; Viridiplantae; Streptophyta; Magnoliopsida; Poales; Poaceae. The record is from RNAcentral.
CAGCCCGCCCUCCGCCGCCGAGUUCACCGGCGAGGCCAAGGGGUACAUGGGCCCCGUGCUGUCGUUCCUGGCCCGGACCGGGUCGCCGCUGAUGGCCAACAUCUACCCGUACCUUGCGUGGGCCUACAACCCGAGCGCCAUGGACAUGAGCUACGCGCUCUUCACCUCCAAGGGCACGGUGGUGCAGGACGGCGCCUACGGGUACCAGAACCUGUUCGACACGACGGUGGACGCCUUCUACUUCGCCAUGGGCCGGCACGGCGGCUCCGGCGUGCCGCUGGUGGUGUCGGAGAGCGGGUGGCCGUCCGGCGGCGGCGAGCAGGCGAACGCGGCCAACGCCAGGAUCUACAACCAGUACCUGAUCAACCACGUCGGGCGCGGCACGCCGAGGCACCCCGGCGGCAUCGAGACCUACCUCUUCUCCAUGUUCAACGAGAACCAGAAGGACAGCGGCGUGGAGCAGAACUGGGGGCUCUUCUACCCCAACAUGCAGCACGUCUACCCCAUCAGCUUCUGAUCACCGGAGCUCUCGUCUAUGAUUAAGUACGUAUACGGGGUACG